GGGCCGGUAGUCUAGCUCGGAUAGGACGCGGGCCUCCGGAGCCUGCAGCACGGGUUCGAAUCCCGUCCGGCCCG
Molecule: transfer RNA, 74 nt
Filed under: Hadarchaeum yellowstonense (SeqCode)
Lineage: Archaea; Methanobacteriati; Hadarchaeota (SeqCode); Hadarchaeia (SeqCode); Hadarchaeales (SeqCode); Hadarchaeaceae (SeqCode)
Also listed under: 1 other name
Description: tRNA-Arg
Rfam family: tRNA
About the family: Transfer RNA (tRNA) molecules are approximately 80 nucleotides in length. Their secondary structure includes four short double-helical elements and three loops (D, anti-codon, and T loops). Further hydrogen bonds mediate the characteristic L-shaped molecular structure. tRNAs have two regions of fundamental functional importance: the anti-codon, which is responsible for specific mRNA codon recognition, and the 3' end, to which the tRNAs corresponding amino acid is attached (by aminoacyl-tRNA synthetases). tRNAs cope with the degeneracy of the genetic code in two manners: having more than one tRNA (with a specific anti-codon) for a particular amino acid; and 'wobble' base-pairing, i.e. permitting non-standard base-pairing at the 3rd anti-codon position.
Source: RNAcentral